UAUUUUAAAGAGAGUUUGAUCCUGGCUCAGGACGAACGCUGGCGGCGUGCCUAAUACAUGCAAGUCGAACGAACGGAGGAAGAGCUUGCUCUUCCAAUGUUAGUGGCGGACGGGUGAGUAACACGUGGGCAACCUGCCUGUAAGUUGGGGAUAACUCCGGGAAACCGGGGCUAAUACCGAAUGAUAAAGUGUGGCGCAUGCCACGCUUUUGAAAGAUGGUUUCGGCUAUCGCUUACAGAUGGGCCCGCGGUGCAUUAGCUAGUUGGUAGGGUAAUGGCCUACCAAGGCAACGAUGCAUAGCCGACCUGAGAGGGUGAUCGGCCACACUGGGACUGAGACACGGCCCAGACUCCUACGGGAGGCAGCAGUAGGGAAUCUUCCGCAAUGGACGAAAGUCUGACGGAGCAACGCCGCGUGUAUGAAGAAGGUUUUCGGAUCGUAAAGUACUGUUGUUAGAGAAGAACAAGGAUAAGAGUAACUGCUUGUCCCUUGACGGUAUCUAACCAGAAAGCCACGGCUAACUACGUGCCAGCAGCCGCGGUAAUACGUAGGUGGCAAGCGUUGUCCGGAUUUAUUGGGCGUAAAGCGCGCGCAGGCGGUCUUUUAAGUCUGAUGUGAAAGCCCCCGGCUUAACCGGGGAGGGUCAUUGGAAACUGGAAGACUGGAGGGCAGAAGAGGAGAGUGGAAUUCCACGUGUAGCGGUGAAAAAUGCGUAAGAAUAAUGUGGAGGAACACACCCAGUGGGCGAAAGGCGACUCUUCUGGUCUGUAAAACUGAACGCCUGAGGCGCGAAAAAAGCGUGGGGAGAGCAAAACAGGAUUACGAUACCCUGGUAGGUUCCAAGCCGUUAAAAACGAUUUUGAGUGCUUAAAGUGUUAGGGGGUUUCCCGCCCCCUUAGUGCUGCAGGGCUUAAAAACGCAUUAAGCAACUACCGCCCGGGGGAGUACGGACCGCAAAGGUUGAAAAGCUCAAAAAAGGAAUAUGAGCGGGGGCCCGCACAAGCGGGUGGAAGCCAUGUUGGUUUAAUUCGAAGCAAACGCGGAAAAGAACCUUACCAGGUCUUGACAUCCCUUUGACACUUCUGGAGACAGAAGCUUUCCCUUCCGGGGACAAAAGUGACAGGUCUGGUUGCAUGUGUUGUCGUCAAUCCAGCUCGUGUCGUAGGAGAAUGUUGGGUUAAGAAGUCCCCGCAACGAGCGGCAAAAACCCUUCGAUUUUAGUUUUGCCAGCAUUUAGUAAUUGGGGCACUUUUUUUAUAAUUUGCCCUAAAGGUUGAACUGCCCGGUGCAAGCCUGCAGGGAAGGUGGUGGGGAUGACGUCAAAAUCAUAUCAUUGCCCCUUAUGGACCAUGGAGACUACAACACGUGGCUACAAUUGGAUAAAGUUACAAAAGAGGUACGCGAAAAGGUUCCGCGAAGGUGGAAGCUAAAUCCCAUAAAAACUAUUCUCAAGUUUCGGGAUUGUAAGCUUGCCAGACUCCCCUUACAUGAAAGCCGGAAUCCGCUAGUUAAAAUUCGUGGAUCACAGCAUGCCACGCGGUGAAUAGCGUUUCCCGGCGCCUGUUGUACAACACCCCACCCGUCACCCACCACGAGAGUUUGUAACAACCCGACAGUCGGUUAAGGGUAAGCCUUUAAUGGAGCCAGCCGGUCCCGAAGGUGGGACAGAAUAAAUUGGGUAGGGAAGUUCGUAAAACAAGGUAGCCGUAUGCGGAAGGUGGCGGCUUAGGCAUCACACUCCCUUCUAAGGAA
This 1752-nucleotide ribosomal RNA is filed under the name Listeria monocytogenes. RNAcentral describes it as "bacterial SSU rRNA". It matches the Rfam family "Bacterial small subunit ribosomal RNA". The record is from RNAcentral. Lineage: Bacteria; Bacillati; Bacillota; Bacilli; Caryophanales; Listeriaceae.